AAGAAGACAAAGAGCUACUCCUCCAAUCAUUUAUCGAAUUGUCAUUUCAUCCUCACUAUCGAAACCCUACUUAUCAUUGCAGCUAAACUGACUGUCAGUUCGAGUCCACGAUUACAGAGCCAGAAGAAGAGCAAGCAAUUUCUCAAUGAACAUCGGCCACGGUUGAUGCGACUCUGUCGCCGCUCAGCAUUCAUAGUGCCUAACUGUUGGUACCGAAUCGGCUGCUUCCGAGGUCGAAGACUGUGGCGGCGCCUGGAAAUGCGGGAAAGAGGACGUAGCUGAAGGCAAUCGUGGUCGUCCAAUCGUGAUUGGAGAAGCAUGUAAGUUUCGAGAAGGACAUAAGCUAUUUGAUAAUGUCGAAACCGGAGACGACCAUGACCGAUCCGGACAUAGUAUGUCCGGACCUACAUUACGCCAAUGACGCCAGAGCUGGUAGAUCAGGUGCUCGAGAAGGAGCAACUCAACGCUCUUCUGUCACAAUGGCCGGGUUGACCGCCUUUAACCUCACCGUUGCGCUGGCUGAGAGCAAGGCGGUAAAUGCUGGUCGAAUUGAUGGUGGCCGAAGGUCAACGUGUCACCAAGAAAGCGGAGAACAGAGAUCGGUUUAAACAAGCAUGAAAAACACCGGUCUCAAAUCGGCGCCGGGACAGGGAACUAUCUGGAUAAUGCAUCGAGAUGGUAAUUGAAACUGAGAGUUCCUGUUGACAAUUAGGCCGGGCGUGAACAUUGAAGGGAACUCGUGGCCCACCCCGUACAACAAGGAGGAGUUCGAGACUACCUGCCUGGUGGAAUUGAUUGCGAGCUUGAUCUCGCAAGUCUUGGAGGAGAAGUCUUUGUUUGAUGGAAGGACUACGAACUCGAGGUUGCUGAGGAAUUUGCUUGACGUGAUGAACUCGAGGUUGCUGAGGAAUUCGGCUUGACGUGAUGAUCAUAUGCUACGUUGUCAAUAUUGUUUCCGCGGAAUUGUACACAGGCGUUUUAUAUCACCGUUGCGCCUGCAGAUAAGCUGACCUAUGACGAGUACCACGAUCUCAGCGCUUAAGGGACUAUUGGAUUGCAAGGGAAACUUUCUGUCUGUUAAUUCCUUGGAUCAACUUCCCAACGAUAGAACCAAGAAGACGCCUGCUGUUUUCGGCCUUCUAUAAAUUAUGUAGUGACAAAAGGAUGCUGGAUGAACAUGUGAUACAUAGUGAUUCAAAUCCUGCGACAGUAUUGUGAAAAAAGUGAUUGUCUCUACUUUGCACUGGUUACAGUUGAGGAUGUUCUGAAUGUUAUUGAUUUUAAAUGACCUGAUGGCAUGAUUGUAGUCUUUGGAGGUUAAACAUCUCUGGAGUUGGCCCUUCCUACCAAGAGCACUUCUUAGAUGAGUUCCAGUGUAGAUAGAUCUGGACCUGUGUGUGGACUACGGAGUUAGCAGAGAGACUACAGGUGUGCAGCCUAAUGAACUGUAAGUAUGUGAUAAUGGUAUCUGGAGAAGUUUCUCAGUAGAGGCAAGUCCUUGAGCUUCUCAUACUUUUCCAUUUUUAGCCAAGGAAACUUUCCACGCACUCACAGAAUAUGCCGCUCAUGUGAUUUAUAAGAAAGUUCACUACCUUCAUUUCACAAAAGUGCUUAUACUAGCCUGAGAUGCAGAGCACUGCUGAGGUGACUGAGUAUUGGUUUGGGUUUCUCGUUGCCAUUGCAAUUGUUAUGGCCCAAAUUGCCACUGGGCAGAGACUACGAUUCACCAACAUAGUGUUUCUCAGCUUAAAUAACUGACGAUACCCCAAUUAAAAAAAAAAUACAAAGGGAUUCUUAAGGCCAGGCUUCAAAAUUGUUUUGACUUCUGGGACUGUUGAUUUUCUUGAAUUAAAAGAUAUUUCUGUAGAAUGAGUUUUGAUAUGCAUGAGUGGCUGGAUGGGUGCUGAUAGGAUUGCUAGUGGGUAAAUUAACUUAAUGGUGAUAAUAAGGUCAGGUGAUGCACUUGCUCGGAUUCAUACCCAUCAACUGAGAAGGAUGGCUCUUGCUUACAAGGUACCUAAAAUGAUAACAGUUUCUGGUUCAUUGUCACUGCUGAAGCAAUAAGAACUCUAAAAUCAAGUACCGCUCAAAUGAUUGCCUUUCAGGAGUUCUUGAUAUUGAGUUAGAACCAUGAAGCAGUAAAGACCUGCCAUCAGUCUCUUCUUCACCAUAGAUUGAGUGGGUAUUCCAGGUGUUGUGCCAUUUAGCAAAAAGGUGAGAAACCCACUUUGAGGCAUUUACAAAAGUCUUUUUGUGUUUGUAUGUGUUGUUGAGGCAUGAUUCUUAAUGAUUGUGUCAAAAUUGCGUUUAAUAAAACUGUGACACUUUUGGAUGAGUGCGCCGGGAAGAAUGAGAUCCAGAACCCAGUAGAAACAUAGCAACUGGUGAAUGCCACUAUUAUGACAUUCUUUGUUAAUAAAUUUUUUAAUCUCAUCAUUUAUUUUUCUUUCACUACUUUAUUUAGGGUAUCAGUUGAACUUGGCUUGAGAACUAGGAAUGUCCAUUUGUCACUUUUGAGUGUGACAAAACGUGUAUAAUAGUUUUUUUUUCCCCUUCAUCUAUUAAAAUGAUACUUGGCACUUUUUUCCCCGAAGGAAGCUUAUCUGCUUUUUUUAGCUUGAUGGAAUCUGAGAUUUAUGGUCUUAAUUUUAUUUAUCAUUAUUUGUCUUUCACUACUUACUUAGGACAUCAAUUGAGCUUCGGCUUGAGAACUAGGAUUGUCCAUACGUCACUUUUGAGUGUGACAAAACAUGUGUAUAGCAGCUUUUUUUUUCCUUCAUCUAUUAAAAUGAUAUUUGGCUUUUUUUCCCCCCCGA
Carica papaya (papaya) is the source of this 2816-nucleotide non-coding RNA. NCBI's taxonomy places the organism in Eukaryota, Viridiplantae, Streptophyta, Magnoliopsida, Brassicales, Caricaceae. The record is from RefSeq and is a predicted model, not a curated record.